GCCCCGCCCCUUGGCUCCACCGGAUGGAAAAGACGCUCCGUUUGGGUGGCCCACCUGAUUUUUACACAUUUCUCUAUCGCAAGGACCCUGCGCCAAUCCCUUUUAAGGCUGCCUCAAGUCACCUAGGAAGUUGCAGCACUCCCGGGAGUAGCCGGGGCCUCUUCAGUGGUGGGCGGCAGAGAAGGGCUGAGACUGGGAGGCUGGUACAGCCUCUUUGCCUCUGAAAUGCCGUCCUCCAGGGCCCCCAAAACCCAAGCCAACUACUUCAUCUGGUGAUCAACCAAGUCAGAUUUAUUUCCAACACCUGAAAAAACUGGCUCUGAUAGAACUACUGAGAGGAUCCCAUGUGCUACCCUAAAAGAUUUUCAAAGGGGUACAAACCUAUGAGCGAAACUGCUGAGUCCAAUGG
Non-coding RNA from Callithrix jacchus (white-tufted-ear marmoset), 409 nucleotides. Lineage: Eukaryota; Metazoa; Chordata; Mammalia; Primates; Cebidae. The record is from RefSeq and is a predicted model, not a curated record.